This 253-nucleotide ribosomal RNA is filed under the name uncultured bacterium. RNAcentral describes it as "partial 16S ribosomal RNA". It matches the Rfam family "Bacterial small subunit ribosomal RNA", at positions 524 to 776 of the family's 1533-position model. The record is from RNAcentral.
UACGAAGGACCCAAGCGUUAUCCGGAUUUAUUGGGUUUAAAGGGUGCGUAGGCGGGUUGUUAAGUCAGUGGUGAAAGCUCCGAGCCUAACUCGGAAACUGCCAUUGAUACUGACGAUCUUGAGUACAUUUGAGGUGGGCGGAAUGUGUCAUGUAGCGGUGAAAUGCUUAGAUAUGACACAGAACACCGAUUGCGAAGGCAGCUCACUAAACUGUAACUGACGCUGAGGCACGAAAGCGUGGGGGGCAAACAGG